RNAcentral lists this ribosomal RNA (450 nucleotides) under uncultured bacterium. RNAcentral's name for it is "partial 16S ribosomal RNA". It matches the Rfam family "Bacterial small subunit ribosomal RNA", at positions 354 to 796 of the family's 1533-position model. The record is from RNAcentral.
GUGGGGAAUUUUGGACAAUGGGCGCAAGCCUGAUCCAGCAAUGUCGCGUGCAGGAAGAAGGCCUUCGGGUUGUAAACUGCUUUUGUACGGAACGAAACGGUCCGGGUUAAUACCCUGGGCUAAUGACGGUACCGUAAGAAUAAGCACCGGCUAACUACGUGCCAGCAGCCGCGGUAAUACGUAGGGUGCAAGCGUUAAUCGGAAUUACUGGGCGUAAAGCGUGCGCAGGCGGUUUUGUAAGACAGGCGUGAAAUCCCCGGGCUCAACCUGGGAAUUGCGCUUGUGACUGCAAGGCUGGAGUGCGGCAGAGGGGGAUGGAAUUCCGCGUGUAGCAGUGAAAUGCGUAGAUAUGCGGAGGAACACCGAUGGCGAAGGCAAUCCCCUGGGCCUGCACUGACGCUCAUGCACGAAAGCGUGGGGAGCAAACAGGAUUAGAAACCCGUGUAGUCC